UUGGGUAAAAUGGUGGGUCAAACGUCCAUUUUACGGCCGUAUUGUUGGGUCUUUAGUCGAUUGUCGGGUCCCAAAGUCGAUUAUCGGGCACUUGGACCCGACAGUUGAAGACCCACUUAAAAAAAGGCUGCUUAACAUACUCAUGACUAUUUUUAAAUUCAAAUUUGCAUGUGUAAUUUUACUCGAAUUGUCGGGCCUAUAUCUCCCAUUAGCACACAUUAGGUCAAACUCCACACAGCAGUUACUUCCCUUGGGCAUUCGCCAAUCAUUAAUGUCUUUUUCUAGAAUAAGGGAGGCCACUGCGUAUGAGAUUGACCAACCUCGGCGCAGUGAUUUACCGGGAACCAGCAUAGCAACGAACGACAACUCGGCGCCCGACAACUCUGUAAUAAAAAUUGCCAAUUUUCGCGGUUAAACUUAAAAAGAGUCCAUGUCAACUGCUGACAGUGAAGAGCCAGGCAGUCUGACCCAUGAUAGGAGGGAGCCAAGUGAAGAGCCAGCCAGUCUGACCCACGAUAGGAGGGAGCCAAGUGAAGAGCCAGCCAGUCUGACCCAUGAUUCUUGACAUGACUCAUGGUGAACUAAAAUUGCUUGCAAAGCAUCUGGGACAUGAUGUGAAGACCCACAAGGAAUAUUAUCAGUUGUCUUCCAGUACCAUGGAACUCUCAAAGGUAUAUAUUUCAUUAAUAAAAAUCUUUAAAUUUUCCAUACACAGAUAUUUGAAAAACUAAAUGCUAUAUUGUAACUAAGAGGGCUAAAAGAAAGAAUAAUUUAACAGGCAGCCACAGUAAGACCAUAUCUGAUGUUGACUUUGACUAGUAUGCUUUGCAUUAAUGGCUUUUUAUGCCCCCUGGAUCGAAUGAACGGGGGUAUAUUGUUUUUGGCUUGUCUUUCUUUGUAUGUGUGUGCGUGUCAAGGUGUGUGUGUGUGUACAAAACUUUUACCAAAACUUAAACGUUUGAUCAUAACUUUUGAAAUAUUGAAAACAGCAACUUGAUAUUUGGAUUACAUGCGUAUCUCAUGGACCUGCACAUUUUGAGUGGUGAAAGGUCAAUGUCAUCCUUCAAGGUCAAAGGUCAAAUAAAAAAAAGCGGCACAGUAGGGGCAUUGUGUUUCUUACAAACACAUCUCUUGUUGUGAGUGUGUUUUGUGCUACAACCAAUGUCCAUGCCAAGGUGGAAACUCUCCAGUUCAUGUUAUUGUUGUUUUGUCUAUUUAGCCCUCAUUGUCAUACUGUUUAGUGUUGUCUGCUAAUUUGUUGCCAUUGUUGACUAUUUUAUAUUA
Long non-coding RNA from Dreissena polymorpha, 1284 nucleotides. RefSeq lists it as uncharacterized. The transcript has 3 exons. The record is from RefSeq and is a predicted model, not a curated record. Lineage: Eukaryota; Metazoa; Mollusca; Bivalvia; Myida; Dreissenidae.